Felis catus (domestic cat) is the source of this 1263-nucleotide long non-coding RNA. RefSeq lists it as uncharacterized. The transcript is spliced from 3 exons. The record is from RefSeq and is a predicted model, not a curated record. NCBI's taxonomy places the organism in Eukaryota, Metazoa, Chordata, Mammalia, Carnivora, Felidae.
UUUGCAUGUAUCAUUUUGAUGAUUCUCCAUUUUAAUUGACUUUCCAUUGAUAUGAUCAAUACAACGUUUUCCAUUGGCCUUGUUGAUCUUUCUGCCUUUCAUGCUAGGGCCUGAUGUCACUGAAAUGGGCAGAUUCUGGAUUCAGACCUCCUGGUGGGACCCUACCUCCCCAAACCACCCACUGAUGAGACCUUGGACACGCAACUCAGUCUCUCUGAGCCCGAGUUCUCCUUUUGGAAGGAUGGGGCUGGGAUAUCAUUCAACUUCAUUGGAUUAAAGCCCAGAUGAAUAUUGUCACACAUAUUUUACAUUUGAGCAAAGGAUUUGAGGAAGAUGAACCUUCAGAUAUACAGCAAGUGGUGCAGUAGGUGCCAAGCCCAGGAUGAGCAGAGCAUGAAGAUACCGUCAUUCGUACAUUCAAGAAAUGUUUGCGGCUGAAGAGGAGGAAGACAUUGUUUCCUUCCUUCACAGGGAAGGAUUAGGUCCCGGUCCCCAGAGCAAGUGUAUUCUCCUCCCUGCUCAAGAGGUUUUCACCUUCAUUGUUAUUCUCUUGGGAACCAGGCCCAUUAAGCAUGAUUAAAAACAGGUCUCAUCUAGAAUCAGAGCUGUGCUCUGAGAUGAAAAUCCUGGGUGCCGUGAACUAAAUUUCCUGUAAGAAUAAAAGAACCCGCCGAAUACUGGCCUUGCUCUAGCUAGUUGUCUAUGCUCAGAGCGUAGUAUUAAGACUCAUCAUUUAUCUUCAUUGUGGGAAUUUGUCCUUAUGAAAGAAUUUUUUUUGGAUGUGCAUUUUACCACUCUUAGAAAGCUGGUAGUUUUGACAAAUCCACAAAAUAUGUUUCUAAUUCCAUUCUGUUCCUAUUGCGUCCCGGUAAUUCUCACAUUAUUUCUGGAAGAUUAGCAGACAUGCAGUGGUAGUGACAUAAUUAGUAUUCGGAGGAGAUAAUAAUGUCAAGGGAUUUUGUUGUUCUUGGAAACUACAUGGAAAAAGAAGGAGAGCAAAAGUUGGAUUUGUGAUCAUUUUUUGGCAUAUAUUGGUGUUUGUUCAGGAAAAUUUUAAUGCCGUAAAUGAGAUUGUUUAAUGAAAACAUGUUGAAUAAGACACUUAGAAGAAAGUCGAUUUUGUAUUCUUUGUUUUACCCACAGCUUCCUCUCUGUAAGGAAAAAGCAUUUCUCUUUCUGCAGAAUUCCCUUUCUGAUAUGAAACGGUUAAUCCUGAGAAUUGUUUCAGGCAAUAAAACACUGACUGGAAUCUUUCCGACAAUA